Carassius auratus (goldfish) is the source of this 3633-nucleotide long non-coding RNA. The record is from Ensembl. Lineage: Eukaryota; Metazoa; Chordata; Actinopteri; Cypriniformes; Cyprinidae.
AGCUCAUUAUCACAUGGGUUAAUGAGCUGAUGAGUUGAAUCAGAUGUGUUUAAUUAGGGAGACAAAGAAAACGUGCAGUGUUGGGGGUACUCCAGGACAGGUUUGGGAACCACUGCGUUAAUGUAUCUGGAGCUGUCUGUGGUAUCUAUGUUUCUCUCUAGUUGACGUCAUCAUUGGGAGAAGUCCCUCCCAUUUGUGAUGCUGCCUUAUUAGAAUAAACACAGCCCUGAGUGAGAAGCAGCAGUCCGCCAUUACUGUUUUCUUGUUGUAGAUGCUUGUCAGUGUCAAAGAGCAAAGAGGCAUUAGAAGUGUUGUGUUUUAGGAUGCACCAAUGAACAUAGGAGUCUCCAUGGACCAGGGAUCCUCAAAUCCGGCCCACGAGAUCCACUUUCCUGCCGAGUUUAGCUCUAACCCUAAUUUAAACACACCUGAGCAUGCCAAUCAAUGUCUUCAGGUUCAUUAGAAAACUACAGGUAGGUGAGUUUGAUCAGGGUUGGAGAUAAACUCCGCAGCGCACUGGCCCUCCUGGACAAGAUUUGAGGAACCCUGCCAUAGACUCUCUCCAUCUGAACUGCUGAGGGCAUUGUGGUUAAGUUUAAUUUUCAAAGGACAGAUUUUACGCCAGACUGUCUAACAACUGAGGGUAAUUUCUAGGCUGGAUUUUUGCAAAAUGGAUUCCUAAACAGGGAUUGAUACCAAUGCUCUGUGCACAGACUUCAGCUCCAGACAAAUCAGAGGUAAUAACACAACAUGAGGCUGACAAACUGUCUAACUGCACACUGGUGCUUGAUAAGCUGUCAGAGCACAAAGCAAAGUGAAACCAUCUAUGACAAUGAGAGGCAGUGAUUCACCCGGCAUCAUCUAUGAGCCACUCUGCUUACCUCCAAAGACUAGCAACUAAAAUGAUCGGCCACAUGGAGCAUUUUAAAGAGUGUUCUCGGAGGAAGGGGAGGAUGGGGCUGCAGUCUACACCAUUUGUGCUGGCUUUGAGCCACACCAACUGUUCAUAAGACAGACACCCACAACCAUACAACAAGCCAAAGCCUGAAGAAUCUGCUCAAGAGACAAUUGUACAAUCGAAAUCGUACAGUCCACGUCAGGCAUAAGACAACAGUGGCAAAAUAAACCUGUAUAGGAUCAGUAAUCUCAUGCCAUAAUCCUCUAAAAUAUCAGACUUCUGCACAUUUCUGAGCCGCUUGCUCUCAUAUCGGGAGAAAUCAAUUGGACUUUGAACUGAGUGCAAACUAUACCUGUGUUAAUACUAUGGUUAAAGGUCAAAGGUCACUGGUCACAUUUUAAUAGGGAAAAAUUGUUAGGUGGUCUUUUAGAAGAACUAGAGGUUUAAACAUUUUUAAAGAAUUUUGUGUGUGUUUUCCUCAAAAAAAAAAAAAAUGCACCUCUGAAGAGGAUAAGUGACUUCCUUUAAAGUACCCCGAUUAUGGGUAAUGAAAGGUUCAAAUUUUGGUUUUGGGAGUUCCCAACAGGUUGACAUGCAUGCAUUUCAUUGUCUUAUAAUCAUUUUUAUUUAUUUUUUAUACUUACUUGGUCAUUGACUCCUAAACGAUUUGCUCAGCGAUUCUUUUUCCAAACCCCUUCUUUGUGUGAUGCUAAUCUGCGGUGAUUGGUCCGAUUGGUCUAAUUUUCAUUUCAUCAUCCCUGAUAAAGCAGCGUUUGUGAGCACAGUGCUGCUGUGUGAACAGCCAUUAUCGUGGAAACCGCUCUAGUGGCAAAGAAUGAAUUUGCAUUUUCAUUCAGACCAAUGUGAAAAUACCAUAAAAUACCAACAAGUUGACUGGCAAUAUGCAUGUUUCAUGUUGACAUCAUCAUGAAACGGCAUGGGAUUCUUUUUAAAAACGACUUGUUUCAAUCAUUCAGAGUCAAAUAUUUCUUUUGAGAGACAAUAACUUUGUUCACGGUGCACUUUCAGAUUUAAAACUUCGCAUUAUGUUUUCAUUCAGUUAGAGCUGUGUUGCACACAGACAUCCAUAAUAGGGGCAAAAAUACUAAAACAAAGCCUUCCUUUGGGUUUGUAAUGAAGAGAACAAUGUAAUCUAGAACAUCUAUAUAUUCCCUGUGGUCACUGCAUAGCAACUGGUUUGAAGAGAUAACUGUGAAUGAGAAUUUCUGGAAUACAAAGUGCUGAACAAUUACACUGUGAUGAAACAUAUUUGUGAUGUUCUAUUCAGCUGCAGCUCUGACCUUUCCUGGUCUGCUUACAUUUUUUCGCUCUGAUUAUGCUUUUGUGCUAUCUCGCUCAUUCUCUGAAAGUCAAUACAGCUUUAUUGGAAGAACUGUCUGAAAUAUUGCCAAAGCUUUGGAGUGCUCACAGGUGCAAUAAAUAAAACAAAAUCUUGUCAAAUCAAAAAUUAUAAAAAGAUUUCAUCAUACUCCAAUAGGAUAAAGUUGUUAAACAACAUUUUGGAAGUAUGUGUUGUGCAUUCUUUUUAGCAACUGCCCUACCAAAAAAAUAAUAAAAGAUAAUUUAUAUUAAUAAAAGAGAGCAGCAAUUUUAAAACUGACAUUGCCAUCAUUGCAUUAUUAUACAAUCACCUAGAAAUGUUUAGGACAAAAGUUCAAAACAAAGGCAGUUACUUUCAAUAUGAAGACAUAAAAAGAAUCGGCCAUUAGAAAAAUACAUUUUUCUAUUUUCUGUACAGUGCACUGUGUUGUUGCUCUGUGUGAAUCUGUCAGGAAACACACCGAAGGUGAACCAGAGGACAAUACUAUUGCUUUUUUUACAUCUCUUUUAGCAAUGUGCAUUUGUAAGACCAGCAAAUAAUAGCUACUGAAAUAAGCUUAUUCAUUCCCAGAGAAAAAUAUUAAACAGCCUCUUUCAUGAUUCACAAUGCAAUUCACAAAAUGAAUCACUUUCCAUCUCACUCUGAAUUAAAACAACAAAUAUUUCAAUGACAUACCGGAAUGAUUUGUGUCUGGCUUUGGCAGAUCGUGAGUUAUCAUAAACAAGAAGAAUAAAAAAGAUCUGCCAUUUGAAAUGAAUGCAGGUUCACAGUUUUUACUGAUAGAAAAGAAAUUGUCUUUUUUUUUUUUUAAACCUUAUGUAUUGUUUUGGUCUCCUAAGGCACACAGUUCUGUAUGUUAAAAUAAUAAUAUUAUUAAAACAACAACAAGCUGACUUUUCCCCUGACUUUGACUAAUCUCUGAGCAGCCUUAGGAUGAAUCUCAAAUAUAGCAUGCCCUUUAAAGAAAUGUGACGUUUAUACAAUAGAUUCUCAAUUUUAAUGUAGAAAAAUAGUUAUUAAUUAUUUUUUGACGUUUGAAGUAUGUUAUCUAGUUGACAUUUUGUUUAUAAUCAGUUUUAGAAAAAGUCACGACAAAUCAACCCCAUACUUAAAUGUUAAGUAUGCUUUUGAGCUAUCAAAAUGGCCUUGGGGUUAACAUUUCAAAUUUUGCUUUAAAAAAAAAACUAAUAAAAAAAAAACACUGUGAUUGUUCAUAAUUGAUACAAUACAUCCUCAUAUUUUAAAAAUACUUAUGCACUAAACAUAUAAAGUACAUUAGAGGUAUGGAAUAAAACCCCACCACAUAGUAACUUUGAAGACAAAUAAAGUAAUUUAAAAAAUAUUCAAAAAUAAUAAACGUGAAUGUUCAAAAAUGAAAGCUCUACGAAUUAAC